Molecule: small nucleolar RNA, 80 nt
Filed under: Catagonus wagneri (Chacoan peccary)
Lineage: Eukaryota; Metazoa; Chordata; Mammalia; Artiodactyla; Tayassuidae
Description: Small nucleolar RNA U105B (ENSCWAG00000004784.1)
Rfam family: Small nucleolar RNA U105B
Source: Rfam by way of RNAcentral
CUGUGUGCGGCUGAUGACAGCAGUGCUGCUGAGACUCUGUGAUUGCUUCGUCUCAAAGUAAACGCCCUGACGCACUGUGG